This 1507-nucleotide ribosomal RNA is filed under the name Enterococcus hirae. RNAcentral's name for it is "16S ribosomal RNA". It matches the Rfam family "Bacterial small subunit ribosomal RNA". Lineage: Bacteria; Bacillati; Bacillota; Bacilli; Lactobacillales; Enterococcaceae. The record is from RNAcentral. RNAcentral also lists the same sequence under 1 other name.
CGAACGCUGGCGGCGUGCCUAAUACAUGCAAGUCGAACGCUUCUUUUUCCACCGGAGCUUGCUCCACCGGAAAAAGAGGAGUGGCGAACGGGUGAGUAACACGUGGGUAACCUGCCCAUCAGAAGGGGAUAACACUUGGAAACAGGUGCUAAUACCGUAUAACAAUCGAAACCGCAUGGUUUUGAUUUGAAAGGCGCUUUCGGGUGUCGCUGAUGGAUGGACCCGCGGUGCAUUAGCUAGUUGGUGAGGUAACGGCUCACCAAGGCGACGAUGCAUAGCCGACCUGAGAGGGUGAUCGGCCACAUUGGGACUGAGACACGGCCCAAACUCCUACGGGAGGCAGCAGUAGGGAAUCUUCGGCAAUGGACGAAAGUCUGACCGAGCAACGCCGCGUGAGUGAAGAAGGUUUUCGGAUCGUAAAACUCUGUUGUUAGAGAAGAACAAGGAUGAGAGUAACUGUUCAUCCCUUGACGGUAUCUAACCAGAAAGCCACGGCUAACUACGUGCCAGCAGCCGCGGUAAUACGUAGGUGGCAAGCGUUGUCCGGAUUUAUUGGGCGUAAAGCGAGCGCAGGCGGUUUCUUAAGUCUGAUGUGAAAGCCCCCGGCUCAACCGGGGAGGGUCAUUGGAAACUGGGAGACUUGAGUGCAGAAGAGGAGAGUGGAAUUCCAUGUGUAGCGGUGAAAUGCGUAGAUAUAUGGAGGAACACCAGUGGCGAAGGCGGCUCUCUGGUCUGUAACUGACGCUGAGGCUCGAAAGCGUGGGGAGCAAACAGGAUUAGAUACCCUGGUAGUCCACGCCGUAAACGAUGAGUGCUAAGUGUUGGAGGGUUUCCGCCCUUCAGUGCUGCAGCUAACGCAUUAAGCACUCCGCCUGGGGAGUACGACCGCAAGGUUGAAACUCAAAGGAAUUGACGGGGGCCCGCACAAGCGGUGGAGCAUGUGGUUUAAUUCGAAGCAACGCGAAGAACCUUACCAGGUCUUGACAUCCUUUGACCACUCUAGAGAUAGAGCUUCCCCUUCGGGGGCAAAGUGACAGGUGGUGCAUGGUUGUCGUCAGCUCGUGUCGUGAGAUGUUGGGUUAAGUCCCGCAACGAGCGCAACCCUUAUUGUUAGUUGCCAUCAUUUAGUUGGGCACUCUAGCAAGACUGCCGGUGACAAACCGGAGGAAGGUGGGGAUGACGUCAAAUCAUCAUGCCCCUUAUGACCUGGGCUACACACGUGCUACAAUGGGAAGUACAACGAGUCGCAAAGUCGCGAGGCUAAGCUAAUCUCUUAAAGCUUCUCUCAGUUCGGAUUGUAGGCUGCAACUCGCCUACAUGAAGCCGGAAUCGCUAGUAAUCGCGGAUCAGCACGCCGCGGUGAAUACGUUCCCGGGCCUUGUACACACCGCCCGUCACACCACGAGAGUUUGUAACACCCGAAGUCGGUGAGGUAACCUUUUGGAGCCAGCCGCCUAAGGUGGGAUAGAUGAUUGGGGUGAAGUCGUAACAAGGUAGCCGUAUCGGA